RNAcentral lists this ribosomal RNA (2920 nucleotides) under Bacillus anthracis (anthrax bacterium). Its description in RNAcentral is "bacterial LSU rRNA". It matches the Rfam family "Bacterial large subunit ribosomal RNA". Lineage: Bacteria; Bacillati; Bacillota; Bacilli; Caryophanales; Bacillaceae. The record is from RNAcentral.
UUAAGUUAGAAAGGGCGCACGGUGGAUGCCUUGACACUAGGAGUCGAUGAAGGACGGGACUAACGCCGAUAUGCUUCGGGGAGCUGUAAGUAAGCUUUGAUCCGAAGAUUUCCGAAUGGGGAAACCCACCAUACGUAAUGGUAUGGUAUCCUUAUCUGAAUACAUAGGAUAAGGAAGACAGACCCAGGGAACUGAAACAUCUAAGUACCUGGAGGAAGAGAAAGCAAAUGCGAUUUCCUGAGUAGCGGCGAGCGAAACGGAACAUAGCCCAAACCAAGAGGCUUGCCUCUUGGGGUUGUAGGACAUUCUAUACGGAGUUACAAAGGAACGAGGUAGACGAAGCGACCUGGAAAGGUCCGUCGUAGAGGGUAACAACCCCGUAGUCGAAACUUCGUUCUCUCUUGAAUGUAUCCUGAGUACGGCGGAACACGUGAAAUUCCGUCGGAAUCUGGGAGGACCAUCUCCCAAGGCUAAAUACUCCCUAGUGAUCGAUAGUGAACCAGUACCGUGAGAGAAAGGUGAAAAGCACCCCGGAAGGGGAGUGAAAGAGAUCCUGAAACCGUGUGCCUACAAAUAGUCAGAGCCCGUUAACGGGUGAUGGCGUGCCUUUUGUAGAAUGAACCGGCGAGUUACGAUCCCGUGCGAGGUUAAGCUGAAGAGGCGGAGCCGCAGCGAAAGCGAGUCUGAAUAGGGCGUUUAGUACGUGGUCGUAGACCCGAAACCAGGUGAUCUACCCAUGUCCAGGGUGAAGUUCAGGUAACACUGAAUGGAGGCCCGAACCCACGCACGUUGAAAAGUGCGGGGAUGAGGUGUGGGUAGCGGAGAAAUUCCAAUCGAACCUGGAGAUAGCUGGUUCUCCCCGAAAUAGCUUUAGGGCUAGCCUUAAGUGUAAGAGUCUUGGAGGUAGAGCACUGAUUGGACUAGGGGUCCUCAUCGGAUUACCGAAUUCAGUCAAACUCCGAAUGCCAAUGACUUAUCCUUAGGAGUCAGACUGCGAGUGAUAAGAUCCGUAGUCAAAAGGGAAACAGCCCAGACCGCCAGCUAAGGUCCCAAAGUGUGUAUUAAGUGGAAAAGGAUGUGGAGUUGCUUAGACAACUAGGAUGUUGGCUUAGAAGCAGCCACCAUUUAAAGAGUGCGUAAUAGCUCACUAGUCGAGUGACUCUGCGCCGAAAAUGUACCGGGGCUAAAUACACCACCGAAGCUGCGGAUUGAUACCAAUGGUAUCAGUGGUAGGGGAGCGUUCUAAGGACAGUGAAGUCAGACCGGAAGGACUGGUGGAGUGCUUAGAAGUGAGAAUGCCGGUAUGAGUAGCGAAAGACGGGUGAGAAUCCCGUCCACCGAAUGCCUAAGGUUUCCUGAGGAAGGCUCGUCCGCUCAGGGUUAGUCAGGACCUAAGCCGAGGCCGACAGGCGUAGGCGAUGGACAACAGGUUGAUAUUCCUGUACCACCUCUUUAUCGUUUGAGCAAUGGAGGGACGCAGAAGGAUAGAAGAAGCGUGCGAUUGGUUGUGCACGUCCAAGCAGUUAGGCUGAUAAGUAGGCAAAUCCGCUUAUCGUGAAGGCUGAGCUGUGAUGGGGAAGCUCCUUAUGGAGCGAAGUCUUUGAUUCCCCGCUGCCAAGAAAAGCUUCUAGCGAGAUAAAAGGUGCCUGUACCGCAAACCGACACAGGUAGGCGAGGAGAGAAUCCUAAGGUGUGCGAGAGAACUCUGGUUAAGGAACUCGGCAAAAUGACCCCGUAACUUCGGGAGAAGGGGUGCUUUCUUAACGGAAAGCCGCAGUGAAUAGGCCCAAGCGACUGUUUAGCAAAAACACAGCUCUCUGCGAAGCCGUAAGGCGAAGUAUAGGGGGUGACACCUGCCCGGUGCUGGAAGGUUAAGGAGAGGGGUUAGCGUAAGCGAAGCUCUGAACUGAAGCCCCAGUAAACGGCGGCCGUAACUAUAACGGUCCUAAGGUAGCGAAAUUCCUUGUCGGGUAAGUUCCGACCCGCACGAAAGGUGUAACGAUUUGGGCACUGUCUCAACCAGAGACUCGGUGAAAUUAUAGUACCUGUGAAGAUGCAGGUUACCCGCGACAGGACGGAAAGACCCCGUGGAGCUUUACUGUAGCCUGAUAUUGAAUUUUGGUACAGUUUGUACAGGAUAGGCGGGAGCCUUUGAAACCGGAGCGCUAGCUUCGGUGGAGGCGCUGGUGGGAUACCGCCCUGACUGUAUUGAAAUUCUAACCUACGGGUCUUAUCGACCCGGGAGACAGUGUCAGGUGGGCAGUUUGACUGGGGCGGUCGCCUCCUAAAGUGUAACGGAGGCGCCCAAAGGUUCCCUCAGAAUGGUUGGAAAUCAUUCGUAGAGUGCAAAGGCAUAAGGGAGCUUGACUGCGAGACCUACAAGUCGAGCAGGGACGAAAGUCGGGCUUAGUGAUCCGGUGGUUCCGCAUGGAAGGGCCAUCGCUCAACGGAUAAAAGCUACCCCGGGGAUAACAGGCUUAUCUCCCCCAAGAGUCCACAUCGACGGGGAGGUUUGGCACCUCGAUGUCGGCUCAUCGCAUCCUGGGGCUGUAGUCGGUCCCAAGGGUUGGGCUGUUCGCCCAUUAAAGCGGUACGCGAGCUGGGUUCAGAACGUCGUGAGACAGUUCGGUCCCUAUCCGUCGUGGGCGUAGGAAAUUUGAGAGGAGCUGUCCUUAGUACGAGAGGACCGGGAUGGACGCACCGCUGGUGUACCAGUUGUUCUGCCAAGGGCAUAGCUGGGUAGCUAUGUGCGGAAGGGAUAAGUGCUGAAAGCAUCUAAGCAUGAAGCCCCCCUCAAGAUGAGAUUUCCCAUAGCGUAAGCUAGUAAGAUCCCUGAAAGAUGAUCAGGUUGAUAGGUUCGAGGUGGAAGCAUGGUGACAUGUGGAGCUGACGAAUACUAAUAGAUCGAGGACUUAACCAU